CACGUAGGGCGCAAGCGUUGUCCGGAAUUAUUGGGAGUAAAGAGCUUGUAGGCGGUUUGUCGCGUCUGCUGUGAAAUUUCGGGGCUCAACCCCGAACUUGCAGUGGGUACGGGCAGACUAGAGUGUGGUAGGGGAGACUGGAAUUCCUGGUGUAGCGGUGAAAUGCGCAGAUAUCAGGAGGAACACCGAUGGCGAAGGCCGGUCUCUGGGCCACUACUGACGCUGAGAAGCGAAAGCAUGGGGAGCGAACAGG
Molecule: ribosomal RNA, 253 nt
Filed under: uncultured bacterium
Lineage: Bacteria
Description: partial 16S ribosomal RNA
Rfam family: Bacterial small subunit ribosomal RNA
Source: RNAcentral